This 1797-nucleotide ribosomal RNA is filed under the name Triticum aestivum (bread wheat). RNAcentral describes it as "partial small subunit ribosomal RNA". Lineage: Eukaryota; Viridiplantae; Streptophyta; Magnoliopsida; Poales; Poaceae. The record is from RNAcentral.
AUGGUGACGGCCAGGCGUCGAGGCUACCCUUCCGAAGUGUACUGGUGGUGGUCGCCUGACGACCACUCGUCGAUGCAGAUCCCAGCACUCAGGAAGCUGCUGCACAUGAGCCCACAGACCAGCAUGGUCGUCCCGGAAUACGUCAACAACAAGCAGGAGGAGUACUACAUGUACACCUCCCCAGAUGAGAUAUCUUCGUUCCUCUUCGUCGACGUGUUUGGUCAGACCAGGCUGAACGUGUGGUCGCAGGACAACCAGGCCUGGCAUAGCAUCUACGUCGAGCCCGCCGAUCCCUGCAUCCCAUACGCCACAUGUGGACCGUUCACCAUCUGUACCGGCAACUCACACCCGCCAUGCGAGUGCAUGGAGAGCUUCUCCAGGACGUCGUCUUGGGAUUGGGAGCUCGGUGAUCGGACAGGAGGGUGCUCCAGAAACACUCAGCUGGAUUGCAAUGGCAACAGCAGUUCCACAGACGUGUUCCACCCCAUGGUUCGUGUGACAUUGCCAUAUGGUCCCCGGAGUUUACAGCAUGCUCCUGCAACUCGGAGCGAAUGUGAAGUGGCCUGUCUCAGCAACUGCUCCUGCUCUGCUUACUCCUACCAAGAUAGCAAAUGCUCUGUUUGGCAUGGGGAGUUGUUCAGUGUAAACAAGGAUGAUGGCAUCGAGAUCAGCUCUGAAUAUACUCUGUAUAUUCGCCUUGCCGCCGGAGAUGUUCUGAGUUCAACAAGAGAUAAAAGAAAACCAGCAGCUGGAGUUGUUAUUGCUACAAGCGUUAUCAGUUCUGGGUUGCUGAUGCUCAUGCUGCUACUAGUGAUCUUGCGGAACAGAUUCAACUGGUGUGGUGUGCCAUCACAGGCCACCAAUCAAGGUAGUGUUGGAGUUGUUGCCUUUAGAUACGCCGAUUUGGGCUGUGCUACAAAGAAUUUCUCACUGAAGCUAGGAGCAGGAGGUUUUGGGACUGUAUUUAAGGGAGUUCUAAGUGACCUGACUAGUGUAGCAGUCAAAAGGCUUGAAGGUGCCCGUCAGGGUGAGAAGCAAUUCAGGGCAGAGGUAAGUGCACUUGGACUGAUCCAGCACAUCAACCUGGUCAAAUUGGUUGGUUUCUGUUGUCAUGGUGAUAAGAGGCUACUUGUAUAUGAACACAUGUGCAAUGGUUCUCUUGAUUCCCAUCUGUUCCAGAGCAAUGGUACAGUCCUCAACUGGAGCACCAGAUAUCAGAUAGCCAUCGGAGUUGCUAGAGGACUGUCCUACCUGCAUCAGAGUUGCCGCGAAUGCAUCAUACACUGCGAUAUCAAGCCAGAAAAUGUACUUCUCGAUGAAUCGUUUGUCCCUAAAAUUGCAGACUUUGGGUUGGCAUCGGUCAUAGGAAGGGAUUUUAGCCGGGUUCUAACUACAUUCAGGGGAACUACAGGGUAUCUUGCCCCAGAGUGGCUUAGCGGUGUUGCUAUUACAUCAAAAGUGGAUGUUUACAGCUUUGGCAUGGUACUGAUGGAAAUCAUAUCGGGAAGAAGGAAUGCGUCUGUUGUGAACACUAGCAGCAACAACCAUGUCGUUUUUUUCCCUGUGCGAGCCAUCAGCAAGCUUCAUGAGGGAGAUGUGCAGAGCUUGGUAGAUCCAGAAUUAUAUGGUGACUUCAGCUUGGAUGAGGUUGAAAGGGUUUGCAACGUAGCAUGUUGGUGUAUCCAGGCUAAUGAGUUGGACCGGCCAACAAUGGGUGAAGUGGUCAGAGUUCUUGAGGGUCUAAUGGAGCUUGAUAUUCCUCCGAUGCCGAGACUGCUUGCGGCUAUAACAACAUAA